RNAcentral lists this ribosomal RNA (2517 nucleotides) under Triticum aestivum (bread wheat). RNAcentral describes it as "partial small subunit ribosomal RNA". The record is from RNAcentral. Lineage: Eukaryota; Viridiplantae; Streptophyta; Magnoliopsida; Poales; Poaceae.
AUGACUGGAUGGUUUUCGAAGAUUGCCAACUGGAAGAGCUCACCUUUCAUACACAUGAAUGCACGGAGCAAACGUCAAGGCUCUUCAUUAUGCUUCACUAUGCUGUGGAUGCUUCUGUUCCCCAACCUCUGGAUAAUAUGCAGCGGCAGUAUUCAGAAACACAUUCUCCUGCCAGGGUUCAGUGCCUCAGAAAUGGAUUACAUUGAUAACAAUGGAAUAUUUCUGCUCUCGAAUGGAUCGGUGUUUGGCUUUGGUUUUGCCAGCAGCAGUGCGUCAGAGAGCACAUCCUACCUUCUUCAAGUGGUCCACCUGGGCACCACUACCGUCAUCUGGACUGCGAAUGCUAACUCUCCAGUUUCGCAUUCGGAUAGCUUUGAGUUUGACAAGGAUGGCAAGGCCUACCUGCAGUCUGCAGGCUCCAGUGUCUGGACUGCCAAUAUCUCUGGCAAAGCCACCUCUAUGCAGCUGCUGGACUCCGGCAAUCUUGUAGUGCUCGGCGAAGAUAGCUCUUCUCCUCUGUGGCAGAGUUUCAGCUAUCCAACAAACACACUUCUGUCUGGCCAGAGCUUCAGUGAUGGUAUGACACUUGUGAGCCAUUCCACCGAACAGAACACGACACAUACACUUCAAAUCAAAUCUGGGGACAUGAUGUUGUACGCAGGGUUCCAACCAUACUGGUCCGCACUGCAGGAUAGUAGGCUGAUCGUUAACAAGGAUGGUGCAAUAUACUCUGCGAACCUCAGUUCAACUUCUUGGUCCUUCUAUGAUAAAUCAGGUUCUCUUCUAUCACAGCUCAUCAUAGCGCAGAAGGGUGAUGCCAACACCACGUUAGCUGCUGUCCUCGGUGAGGAUGGGUCAAUUGCCUUCUAUAUGCUGCAGAGUGCAAAUGGCAAGACUAAUCUGCCAAUCCCAAUCCCACAGGACUCGUGUGACACGCCAACCCACUGCCAACCGUACUCUAUUUGCAAUAGUGGGACAGGAUGCCAAUGCCCUUCAGGCCGCGGCUCCUAUCCAAACUGUGACCCUGGUCUCGUAUCACCUUGUAAGUCAAAAGAGGUGUUUCAGCUGGCUCAACUGGACAGUGGAGUUGGAUAUAUCGGUACUAGCUUCACCUCACCUGUGCCUAAGACAAACAUCACAGGUUGCAAGAAUACUUGCAUGGGAAAUUGCUCAUGCAUCGCCGUGUUCUUCGACCAAAAAACAGGCAAUUGCUUCAUUUUUGACCAGAUUGGUAGCUUGCAGCAGAAAGGUGCAAGUAAAACUAAUUUUUCAUCUUUCAUCAAGGUAUCUAGCAGUGGCUCAGGGCAAGCUGGGAGUGGCAAUGACAAUGGAAAUCACAACAUUAUUAUUGUUGUCAUUAUAGUCGUAACUUUGGCUGUCAUUGGUGGCCUCAUUUAUGUCGGUUUCUUCAUUUAUAGGAGGAAGAGGUAUCCUCCGUCCUCACAAGAUGAGGCUGGUUCAUCGGAAGAUGAUGGAUAUCUGCAGACGAUAUCUGGAGCACCAGUGCGGUUCACUUACAGGGAGCUCCAGGAUGCAACAAACAACUUCUCUAACAAGCUUGGCCAAGGAGGAUUUGGAUCUGUAUAUCUGGGAACACUCCCAGAUGGCAGUCGCAUUGCUGUAAAGAAGCUGGAGGGCAUAGGCCAAGGGAGGAAAGAGUUCCGCUCCGAGGUGACGAUAAUUGGCAGCAUCCACCACAUCCAUCUAGUUAAACUCCGAGGCUUCUGUGCUGAGGAUUCACACAGGCUUCUUGCAUAUGAAUACAUGGCGAAAGGGUCACUGGAAAGGUGGAUUUUCCGUACUAAGGAGGGUGAUCCCCUUCUGGACUGGGAUACAAGGUUUAACAUUGCACUUGGAGCAGCAAAGGGAUUGGCAUACCUCCAUCAGGACUGUGAAUCGAAGAUCAUUCAUUGCGACAUCAAGCCUGAGAAUUUCCUGCUUGAUGACAACUUCCUUGUGAAGGUAUCUGACUUUGGCCUUGCCAAGUUGAUGAGCAGGGAGCAGAGCCAUGUUUUCACGACGAUGAGAGGCACGCGGGGCUAUCUCGCGCCCGAGUGGAUCACCAACUACGCCAUCUCAGAGAAGAGCGACGUAUACAGCUAUGGCAUGGUUCUGCUCGAGAUAAUCAGCGGGAGGAAAAAUUUUGAUCCCGUGGAAGGCUCAGAAAAGGCCCAUUUCCCGUCCUUUGCUUUCAAGAAGCUGGAGGAGGGCGAUCUUCGCGAGAUCCUUGACUCCAAGCUGAGGUAUAACGACAAGGAUGAGCGACUGGAGAUCGCGAUCAAGGUUGCUCUGUGGUGCAUCCAGGAGGAUUUCUACCAGAGGCCGUCCAUGUCGAAGGUGGUCCAGAUGCUCGAGUGCGUCUGCGACGUGCCCCAGCCACCGAUGUCCUCACAGAUCGGAUAUAGGCUCUAUGCGAAUGCCCUCAAAUCGAGCAGCGAGGAGGGCAUGUCGUCGGGGAUGUCGGACUACAACAGUGAGGCUCUGCUUUCAGCAGUGCGGCUCUCUGGUCCUAGAUGA